Molecule: long non-coding RNA, 266 nt
Filed under: Mytilus galloprovincialis (Mediterranean mussel)
Lineage: Eukaryota; Metazoa; Mollusca; Bivalvia; Mytilida; Mytilidae
Source: RNAcentral
GUUGGCGUUUAAGUUAAGAUUUUUUUUAAUGUUUAUUUGAUUGAUUUGUAUGUCAGUUCAGAAGUAUGUUUGUGGUGUAUGUUUACAGUUUUUAUUUUUGGAUCCCAGUAAUUGUCACAUCCUCCCAUUUUUUCUGUAUGUAUUGCUCGUCUAAUUUGGUCAUUAUCACGGAUCUAUUAACAACUGUCAUACAAGUGGGAGGGUUAGCUAGAUAUACUUACAGGUUUAACCAACUAUAUUCUUUUAAAAUGCCUGGACAAAGUCAG